AUUACAAUUAAACAUGAUAAUCCUCACAACAGGGGAUUUUGAGAGAGAAAAAAAAUGGCAACCUUAAAGAUCUAAAAUUUUUUCAAAAUAUUGAAAGCAAAAGAAUAAAACCUAACCUGGGUUCUAAAUUUUUCUGACAUUAACAACUAAGAGGUUUCUCACCUUCCUGACUUAAACUUUCUGUUGUACUAAAAAUGGUGAAAAUGAAUCAUCUCCUUCAAGUAAGGGCUACACUAACUCCCCCCUUUGCCUUGUUACUAUGGAUCUUUUCUUCCCAUGCCCGACGACAAAAAUCGAAAAAAAGGCAUGUUAUAUACCAAAAUAUAACUGUAGUUAACUACCUCCAUCGAAGCAACUUCAGUUCUGUUGCGCGACGAGAUGAUCAAGCUGCAUUUGUUCCAGCCAUGCUCCUAAUGCAGCAUGAUCGACUGCCUCCAUUUGCGAGUUCAUGUUAGAACUCUCACCAGAAGAUACAAAACUAUCGCCACCCAAAUUGGGAUGAGCCUGCUUUUCUUUUAUCUCAGUUGGAGAUUCUUUCACAAGUGAUUGAACCCAUGAUAAAUCUGGCUCUUCUCCAUUGUUCCCGAGCUCAAAAGACGAUGAUCGCCGAAGCUUACCCAUUUCAUCCG
Molecule: unclassified non-coding RNA, 629 nt
Filed under: Hevea brasiliensis (rubber tree)
Lineage: Eukaryota; Viridiplantae; Streptophyta; Magnoliopsida; Malpighiales; Euphorbiaceae
Source: RNAcentral